Long non-coding RNA from Gorilla gorilla gorilla (western lowland gorilla), 2535 nucleotides. RefSeq lists it as uncharacterized. The transcript has 4 exons. Lineage: Eukaryota; Metazoa; Chordata; Mammalia; Primates; Hominidae. The record is from RefSeq and is a predicted model, not a curated record.
UCUUGCAGCCCAAGCCUCCAGAGCGAACGUUUCACCUAGGGCAGGAGGCAAACGUCCUCCCAGGGGGUUGACGGUUGAGGACUUCCAAGGCUGUUUUCCUUCUUUUCUUCCACGUGCGGAAGGAAAAAAAAAACUAAAACUAGAUUUUCAUAACUGCUAACACAGACAAAGAGCACCAGAAGCAUGGAAAAAAAAAAAAAAUGGAACUGCCCGUCCCCAGUUUCCCCAGACUUACUUUAUUACGGUGGCUUUCCAACUGAAAAAUCUCACUAGAAACAACCUGAAAAUUGUUGAAGGACCAGGAGAAAGCAGAAGACAUUAAACAACAACAACAACAACAACAAAAACAGUUUCACUGCAGUAAAAGAUUUGGACGCACAAAAAUCAGAAAUCAAUGUCCGAAUGAAUGUCCUUAAGUGAAGUGUUUUACACAUAGAAAUUAUUGCCCUAGAAACUCUAUCCCAACUCAAGAGCAGAAAAGAUUAUUAUUUUCCACCUUAAAUGAGGGCACGAGAAUCAGAGGAUUAUUUUUUCAGGUAUAAAAACUUUAUUGAAGAGAAAGAAUGUAAGCGAAGAGUAGUAGGAUAUGAAACGUGGCUUUCUUUUUUUAAUGAAAAUGCAACUUCUUAUUGGUUUUCUUUUCUUAGGCUGAUAUAUAAGCUCUUUAGGCCAUGUAUAUGUGGAGGGUGACUUUCCAGGAGAGAUGGCACUAUCUUCUCUCCUGUGGAUUAGACAUUGUGUUGCCAAAAACAAUUUAGCUCUUCAACAAGAUUUUGUGCUGCUCCAAUAGUGCUGGCCUGGUAGACCAGGGAAAGAAGAAUUAAGAACCACUGACCUGAAGCCUGAUUUUGACUCUACACUGCUUCAUUAUAAUAAAUGUAAAAAAAAAAAAUCCACAGGAAUCCUAGGAGGUAGGAAAGACAGUGGGGAGUGGUGGGCUCUUAUUCUUGUGCUUCAAAACCAGAAUAGGUACUGCUUGGGUGCAGAGCGGAAAAGACAACUCCAUUAAAAAUGAAUGGUACUGGGAAUUUUACUUCUACCCAGAAUGUAGAAAGCCAAAUAAAAUGUAACCCCCACUCCAAUAAUAACAACAACAACAAAGCUGGAUAGUAUGAAAAAAUACUUUUUUUAUCAGAGAGCUACAUUUCUAUAGCUAUGGUUGCUGUAAAGAAACUAGGCAAAUUGAUUCUAAAGGACAGCAAGCCCCUCAGAAAAAGGAUGGGACACACAAACCAUUUUACUUUUCAAAGAGCACAGAAGGAAGAAAGAGCAGUCAUAAAGGAAGAUAGAAACAGUUGAAAUUUUAAUGAAUUCUUAAAGGCCAAGGGAAGCUUAACAGUUUAGAAACCCUAGAAGCCUAAGAAACAAGGGGAGUCUAUACCCAUUUACCAGAUCUUUGCUUAAGGGAAGAAAGCAUUUGGUCGUGGUAGACUGUCCCUGAGAAAGAAGAAGGAAUACUUGCCCUCCCACCUCCACUGACCCUUCUGCUAUCCAAAGCAAAAGCAGUUUUGCCUCUGGGAUUGAGGCAGGAAACUCUCAUGCCCUCCAGUCUGUGACUAAGGUUAUCUGUUACAGAAGAAAAAACCCACUGAAGGAGGAGCAGCAAACCAUCCUGUCCUAUGGCCUACCUUAAGAUUGACUGCCACCAGAGAGAGAGAUAGAAAUAAAACAGUUUGCCAAAAAGAGAGGAGCAGGAACUUCAUUUCUUCCCAAGAACCCCACUGAAACAAGGCAAAGCCCAAACUUGAGGUUCAGGCAUUCAGGGCAUGUCCAAAAUUGAGGCUGGACCAGGGACAACCUAGCUUCUGCCUCGACGAGGAGUUUUGCAUGAGUGAAAAAACAGCACUCCACCAAUAUAGAAUCAGCUACAAAACAUAAAAUGCAUCUCAAAAAGAAAGAAAGAAAAAAACCCACAAGGUUUGGCAAAAGAAAGAAGAAAAAUAAAACUGAGUCCUCUGUCUUGCCUCAUCGCCUGGACUGAUAUGUCUUUGGACUCAAGCCAGGACUGACACCAUCAACCCCUUCUCUGCUACACAGGACUUCUGACUCAGACUAAAUUACAUUGUCAGCUUUCCUGUUUCUCCAGCUUCAAUAUGGCAUGUUAUAGGAUACCUCAGCCUCCAUAAUUAUGUUCUGAAAAAGACAACAUGUUGAACAGUGAGAAAUGGAGGAGUGGUGUGAUUAAUGGUCAAGAGAGAGAAGCACAGAAGCAUAACUCUUCUUCUUGACAGAUGCUCCAGCUGAUUACAUACAGUCAAGUAACAGAGUUGUUACAGAUAUUUGGCCAACUGUUUUAGGUACCAUCUGCUCAUUUUCCCCCAGAAGAGUAACCCCUUUUCAAAGGUUAAAGGGAAAGUUAAAAAGCCUGUUUAGACACUUCACAAAUUUUCACCAAUUUCCAGAAUUGUGAGUCACUUAAAUGAAAUGCAAAGAAAAGUUAACAUCAUAAGGGCAAGGGCCAUCAGAUUUGAGCUGGACAGAAAAAAAAAAAGAUUACAAAGCAAAUAAAUACAGCUUGUCAUUAUUUCUUUUGUA